CGCCGCCCUCGCAAGGCGGAGGCCCCGGGUUCGAAUCCCGGCGGGUCCA
RNAcentral lists this ribosomal RNA (49 nucleotides) under Nanoarchaeum equitans Kin4-M. RNAcentral's name for it is "small subunit ribosomal RNA". It matches the Rfam family "tRNA", at positions 24 to 71 of the family's 71-position model. From Rfam's summary of the family: Transfer RNA (tRNA) molecules are approximately 80 nucleotides in length. Their secondary structure includes four short double-helical elements and three loops (D, anti-codon, and T loops). The record is from RNAcentral. Lineage: Archaea; Nanobdellati; Nanobdellota; Candidatus Nanoarchaeia; Nanoarchaeales; Nanoarchaeaceae.